GUGGAUUUAGCUCAGCAGGUUAGAGCAUCAGAUUGUGGUUCUGAGGGUCGUCGGUUCGAAUCCGACACUCCACCC
Molecule: transfer RNA, 75 nt
Filed under: Bacteroidia bacterium
Lineage: Bacteria; Pseudomonadati; Bacteroidota; Bacteroidia
Description: tRNA-His
Rfam family: tRNA
About the family: Transfer RNA (tRNA) molecules are approximately 80 nucleotides in length.
Source: RNAcentral